UCCUGGGAAGAGUGUUACUGGCACAAGGGGCCAUCCAGAAAUCCCUGCCGGGCUCUUCACCCUGUUCCUGAAUUCCCCCACUGUCAGGCGUGUGCACACGGAGCACUCAGGCAGCAACCCCCCGGCCCCAGUGCAUUUCCUAUCGAUUGGAUGCAGAAAAUCACUCCCAGACCAGAACAGAGAUGCUUGUCACAAGGACAAUCGCUGUGUUCCUGGGGGAAGGAGCAGUCCAGGCAGCCGAGCCUCCCCGCCUCACCCCCAAGGGAAAAGCGGCAUCCCUGAAACCCAAGAGAGGAAGGUGCCCAGUGCAUCUCGGUGCUUGUAUCCCUCCGCUCAUCCUUGUCUAAUGAAAUAGUACCUAUUUGAAUUGAAAUGAAUGGCCCCCGCGCUCACACCACUGCACCGAGCAGCGCCCAACCCUGCGCUGCACCUGCCAGUCCAGCCCGCCGCCUGCCUGAGCCCGCGGAGCCCGCUCCUCACCCGGGCACAGACCGCGGCUCGGCCGGGGCACGAUGGGGUGGGGGGCACCUCUAUCCCAGCACUCUAGUUCGGGACCCUGUUUCCCAUGGGCGGGAUGGGCACCUGCACCUUCUCCUCCCGUCCCGCCCUGCCUGGCUUUCUCUCUCCAGGUCUGCCCUCCCUCUUUCUCCUCCCCCCGUUUCAUUCCCCCCCCCCCACCUUUUUUUCUCUUUUUUUUUCCUUUUCAUCUCCCUGAUUUUUCUCUCCCCCCCGCGCUGUUUUUUUUCCUCUUCUUCUCAGUCCUCCUUUUUUCUUCCCCUUUCUGCCCUAGCCCCUGGCGCCCAUUCCCUACGUUGUUUGCAUCGUCCCCUUUCCCCCAAUACACACUUCCACCCACUCCCUCCCUCCCUGCCCCCCCCAUCGCUUGUCCCGGUGCCCGGACAAUGAUCGCGGUGUAUGAAGUUCUAACUGGUUUGUGUCAGGCAGCUCUUUCUAUGCAGCCUGGCGUGACGGAUUAAACAUCAACUAGUUAAAUAAAAAUUAAU
This is a long non-coding RNA of Alligator mississippiensis (American alligator), 1004 nucleotides long. RefSeq lists it as uncharacterized. Lineage: Eukaryota; Metazoa; Chordata; Crocodylia; Alligatoridae. The transcript has 3 exons. The record is from RefSeq and is a predicted model, not a curated record.